CGCGGUAAUACAGAGGUCUCAAGCGUUGUUCGGAUUCAUUGGGCGUAAAGGGUGUGUAGGCGGCCUGUUAAGUUCCGUGUGAAAUCUCCCGGCUCAACCGGGAGGGUGCGCGGAAAACUGGCGGGCUAGAGUGCGGGAUGGGAGAGUAGAAUUCCUGGUGUAGCGGUGAAAUGCGUAGAUAUCAGGAGGAAUACCGGUGGUGUAGACGGCUCUCUGGACCGCAACUGACGCUGAAACACGAAAGCGUGGGUAGCAAACAGGAUUAGAUACCCUGGUAGUCCACGCCCUAAACGAUGCAUAUUUGGUGUAGGUCAUUCAGUUGAUCUGUGCCGGAGCUAACGCGUUAAAUAUGCCGCCUGGGGAGUACAGUCGCAAGGCUGAAACUCAAAGGAAUUGACGGGGGCCCGCACAAGCGGUGGAGCAUGUGGUUCAAUUCGACGCAACGCGAAGAACCUUACCUGGGCUCGAACGGCUGGUCAACGAUCGUGGAAACACGGUUACUCCGCAAGGGGGUCCAGUCGAGGUGCUGCAUGGCUGUCGUCAGCUCGUGUCGUGAGAUGUUGGGUUAAGUCCCGCAACGAGCGCAACCCUCGUCCUGUGUUGCCAUCAUUCAGUUGGGAACUCGCAGGAGACCGCCAGCGAUAAGCUGGAGGAAGGUGGGGAUGAUGUCAAGUCAUCAUGGCCUUUAUGUCCAGGGCUACACACGUGCUACAAUGGACGGUACAAAGCGCUGCUAACCCGCGAGGGGGAGCCAAUCGCAAAAAACCGUUCUCAGUUCGGAUCGCAGGCUGCAACCCGCCUGCGUGAAGCUGGAAUCGCUAGUAAUGGCGUAUCAGAACGACGCCGUGAAUACGUUCCCGGGCCUUGUACACACCGCCCGUA
This 882-nucleotide ribosomal RNA is filed under the name uncultured bacterium. RNAcentral's name for it is "bacterial SSU rRNA". It matches the Rfam family "Bacterial small subunit ribosomal RNA", at positions 516 to 1398 of the family's 1533-position model. The record is from RNAcentral.